UUUAAGUAGAGUUUGAUCCUAGCUCAGGAUGAACGCUGGCGGCGUGGAUAAGGCAUGCAAGUCGAACGAAUUUUAAUUGUUGAAGUUGAAAUGAAGUAGCAAUAUGGAAUUUUGAUAGAUAUUUUUAAAAUUAGUGGCGAACGAGGUAGUAACACGUGGGUACUUCCCCCUAAGUCGCGAAUAAUCCAUCGAAAGGUGGACUAAUACGCGAUAUACUUCAGAGUGAAAGAUUUUUCGCUUAGGGAAAGGCCUGCGGGAUAUCAGCUAGUUGGUAGUGUAAUAGACUACCAAGGCUAUGACGUCUAGGGGAGCUGAGAGGCUGACCCCCACCGAUGGGACUGAGACACGGCCCAUACACCUACGGGUGGCUGCAGUCAAGAACCUUCCACAAUGGACGAAAGUCUGAUGGAGCGACGCCGCGUGAUUGAUGAAGUCCUUCGGGACGUAAAGAUCUUUUAUGAGGGAAGAAGUUUAUUGACGGUACCUCAUGAAUAAGGGGCUCCUAAUCUCGUGCCAGCAGGAGCGGUAAUACGAGAGCCCCGAGCGUUAUCCGGAAUUAUUGGGCGUAAAGGGUGCGUCGGUUGUUAUAUUAGCCUCACUUUAAAUCUUCAUGCUCAACAUGAAGCAUGGGCGGGGAACGGUAUGACUAGAGGUUGUGAGAGGUGUGCGGAACUCAAGGUGUAGGGGUGAAAUCCGUUGAUAUCUUGGGGAACACCAAAUGCGAAGGCAGCACACUGGCACAUAUCUGACACUCAAGCACGAAAGCGUGGGUAGCGAAUGGGAUUAGAUACCCCAGUAGUCCACGCCCUAAACGAUGAUCUCUCGGUUUUCGGAGUAUCGACCCUCUGAGAGCCUAAGCUAACGCGUUAAGAGAUCCGCCUGGGAAAUACGGCCGCAAGGCUAAAACUCAAAGGAAUAGACGGGGACUCGCACAAGCAGUGGAUUAUGUGGUUUAAUUCGAUGGUAAACGAAGAACCUCACCAGGGUUUGACACCUACGUGAAAGCUCUAAGAAACUAGAGCCCUCGCAAGACUAGUAGGCAGGUGUUGCAUGGCCGUCGUCAGUUCGUGGUUUGAAUUGUUCCCUUAAGUGGGGUAACGAACGCAACCCUCGUCGUGUGUUAUAUUUGUCACACGAGACCGCCCAGAACAAAGCGCGUGAAUGCGCUUCUAGUAGAAAGUGUAAAGUUGAAAGUCAAAAGUGAAUUCAGAAAUGCAUUUACUUUAAACUUUCUACAUUCAACUUUUGACUUGAAGUGUACAUCGUACGUUUCGUUCUGGGAGGAAGGAGAGGAUGACGCCAGGUCAGCAUGACCCUUUGAUAUCCUGGGCUACACACAUAAUACAAUGACGGCUACAACGCGUUGCGACGAGGUAACUCUGAGCUAAUCGUUAUAAAAGCCGCCUCAGUUCGGAUUGAGGUCUGCAACUCGACCUCAUGAAGUUGGAAUUGCUAGUAAUCGCAGGUCAGACAUACUGCGGUGAAUACGUUCUCGAGUCUUGUACUCACCGCCCGUCAAGUCAAGGGAGCUGGGAAUACCCGAAAUUUCUACAUUAGUAGGACCUAAGGUAAGCUCAGUGACAGGGACUAAGUCGUAACAAGGCACGGGUAGCGGAAGCUGCUCGUGGAAUAAUUCAAUU
RNAcentral lists this ribosomal RNA (1640 nucleotides) under Candidatus Nomurabacteria bacterium. RNAcentral's name for it is "bacterial SSU rRNA". It matches the Rfam family "Bacterial small subunit ribosomal RNA". The record is from RNAcentral. Lineage: Bacteria; Candidatus Nomuraibacteriota.